AGUACCAAUAGGAAAAGAAAUCAAUUGAGAUUCCGUAAGUAGUGGCGAGCGAACGCGGAUUAGCCCUAAAGACUUUAUAAGGAUAAUAGAAUAACCUGGAAAGGUUAACCGUAGAGGGUGAUAGUCCCGUAAAUGAAAUUUUUAUUAAGUUGAUAACGAGUAAGGCGGAACACGAGAAAUUCUGUCCGAAUAUGGGAGGACCAUCUUCCAAGGCUAAAUACUCCUCAAAGACCGAUAGUGAACUAGUACUGUGAAGGAAAGGUGAAAAGCAUUUCGAAUAGAAAGUUGAAAUAGAACCUGAAACCGUACGCCUACAAGCGGUCGGAGCUCUUCGGAGUGACGGCGUGCCUUUUGCAUAAUGAGCCUACGAGUUAAUGUUGCUGGCAAGGUUAAGCACUUCAGGUGCGGAGCCGUAGCGAAAGCGAGUCUGAAUAGGGCGUUAUAGUCAGUAGUAUUAGACGCGAAACCUUGUGAUCUACCCAUGGGCAGGUUGAAGCUUUGGUAACACAAAGUGGAGGACCGAACCGGUUGACGUUGAAAAGUCUUCGGAUGACCUGUGGGUAGGGGUGAAAGGCCAAUCAAACUGGGAAAUAGCUCGUACUCCCCGAAAUGCAUUUAGGUGCAGCGUUUAGUUAAGUAUAUUAGAGGUAGAGCUACUGAUUGGAUGCGGGGGCUUCACCGCCUACCAAUUCCUGACAAACUCCGAAUGCUAAUAUAUGUUUCUAGGCAGUGAGGGCAUGGGUGCUAAGGUCCAUGUCCGAGAGGGAAAGAACCCAGACCAUCAGCUAAGGUCCCCAAAUAUAUGCUAAGUUGAAAAAACGCGGUUGGAUUGCAUAGACAGCUAGGAUGUUAGCUUGGAAGCAGCUAUUCAUUUAACGAGUGCGUAACAGCUCACUAGUCGAGCGAUCCGGCAUGGAUAAUAAUCGGGCAUAAGCAUAUUACCGAAGC
This 948-nucleotide ribosomal RNA is filed under the name Gilvimarinus gilvus. Its description in RNAcentral is "partial 23S ribosomal RNA". It matches the Rfam family "Bacterial large subunit ribosomal RNA", at positions 205 to 1200 of the family's 2925-position model. Lineage: Bacteria; Pseudomonadati; Pseudomonadota; Gammaproteobacteria; Cellvibrionales; Cellvibrionaceae. The record is from RNAcentral.